CCAGGUAUGGCAAAGCUAUGUGAGAAAAACCCAUAACAAAUAAUAGAAAAGUCCCAGACCUACUCCAUUCACAGACAAAGACGCUGUCUCCAACCCCGCUGGUAUUUGUCACAGUGACAGAAGGCUAACAAACACAGCAGACAGGCAGGACCCAUGAGGAAAAAGGGCAGAAGAGAGCACAGCAUGCCCAGCCGUUCUCAAAUUCACUCAUCAAGAAGUCACUCUCUCCCAGAGGCAGCGGGAAACACACAGAAUGAAGCCUUUUAAGAAAAGUGACAUCCCAUGAGAAGAUCAGUAACGUUAUCUAAAAGGGAAAUGUUGUUGCUUAGAGUCAGAAAUGACUCAAUUUGUGGUUUAAUAUAAUAAAUGUGGAUUAAAACACAUACAAACCAAAGAGGAUAAUUUUUCAGAGAUGCUAACUAAGGAAAUGUAUUGAAGGCAGAGAUUACAUAGGUUUUGAUAAUGUUUGUAUCUUGGGGGUUCCUGCUAAAUUUUUAAAAAAAAUACAAGAGGAGAUUUACACGGGGGGAAAUGUGAGUUAAGUGAGGCCACCGUUACCAAGAAAACGUGUGGAAUGCAGACAUGACUCAGCAGAGCGCUGUUUUCCUUGACACUCGUCUAUAAGACCCAAAACAAAGAGCAAGACAAAAGCUGUUGAGUGACUGUCGCGGCCUCAGAAUUCAAAGAUAGACAAGGGAAUUUUUGAAUUUUCCUGGGAUGAAGUGGGAUCUGAAGUGAAACAACAUUUUACUGUAGAGUACAUCCUCUAGAUAAAGUUAUUAUCAGCGGCUAAAGCCUGUGUUUAAUACCUGUAACCACAGUUCUAUAAACUCCUGGUCUUGCCAGAAGUUUCAGUAACAAACAACACCAAGAAGGCUACCGACAGGAGAAAAUACAGGGUCCCCAAAAUAUUAAUUAUGGACUAAUCCAAUAAGUGAGAGUGAUAUCGCAUUCACUGUUGACGUUCGGUGAGGUUUCCAAGGUGGAGGCUGCUACACGGAUCACCGCUAUGUGCAUUAUCCUAGCUGCCAGCACAGCUCUUGCCGUGAAGUAGGAGUCUGUACUUCAGCUUGGACAGUGACAAGGGACACAAGUUCAUCUGGUACAGCCUUGUAGCGUGAUGACACCCUCAAGAACUACUGGGGAAUGGGAGAGGCAGACCUGGGACCCAGGUGUAUUUGUAGACGCAGGAGAAUUUGUGUACCCAACUUUUUCAACAUCAAAAUCUUGUCAUCUCUGCAUGCUCUUGGACUGUGGAUGUCAAACGCCAUCCUCUUACCCCUUUCGCGUGUCAUCUGAAAAUGAACUGGCGCACCGACUGGUUGAUGUGAAAUGAGCCUGAUGCCAAUCAAUCAGUUGGAUCAUUCUGCCCUUCAAGUCCUUCAUGGUGAGUUUCAUAAUAGGUCGGAGUUUUGCUUUAUUUCAUGCCAGAUGAAUUGCUGAAAGUUGGUGUGCAACGAAGAGUGGAAUGAUUAAGAGAAUGAUCAAUAGUCGCUCCGCUGAGGCAAAAUAAUUUCAGUUUUCCUUCAACAUAAUAAAAAUGGCCGUCUACAGUUCUCCUCAUAACGGACUCAACGUUUCUCCUGCAGUGUGUGCACUGGUUUCAUCUGUUCUUUGGUGUGAACAACGUCUAUCCUUAGUCCACAAUUCAGGUGAAGCGUUUCCCUUCCAGUGUGCGGCGGCCUCUGUGGUGCAGUCAGAGAGGAGCCCGAAAGGCUCCUUGGAUAAGGGCACCCUUUCCGGGCUGGCGUCCCCACCUCCAGAGACAACACACCGGCAGUGCGGAGGAGCCUGUCAAGGUCAAGGUCAAGGUCAAGGGGGAGGCCCAAUCUGGUCUUGCUGUAUGUGCUGUGAGCCUUGUAAAUGACGCAAGCAUCUAGAGUUACUGUAAACCUCAGGACUUUAGCCUCCUGACUGUUCUGUCACACUAAUGGGAGCCAUGUGAUGAGGAUCAGUUUUCACUGAUGUAGACACGGAGUCUUUUAUGUGUGUGAACAUGAAGACAACAAUAUGCAAUGCAUCAGCUGUUGUAACUGUCCUACGAACCUGUUUCAGUGUUAAUCUUUUUUCUCUUUUAAACAAACAAAAAAAAAAAUCCAUACUCCAUCGUCAAAGGAAGCAAAUGUCUUUUCUUUCUAAGCAAAAUUUCUAAAGACAAAGAUUUUAAUGCACAUUUUCCCUUUUUUUGUAGUCUAUAAUAUGUGCCAUUUU
Molecule: long non-coding RNA, 2211 nt
Organism: Chinchilla lanigera (long-tailed chinchilla)
Lineage: Eukaryota; Metazoa; Chordata; Mammalia; Rodentia; Chinchillidae
Exons: 7
Source: RefSeq, a predicted model, not a curated record